RNAcentral lists this long non-coding RNA (1439 nucleotides) under Calidris pugnax (ruff). Its description in RNAcentral is "lncRNA (ENSCPUG00000018198.1)". Lineage: Eukaryota; Metazoa; Chordata; Aves; Charadriiformes; Scolopacidae. The record is from RNAcentral.
CCCUGACAAGAGGCUGGGGAGAUGGGGGGGNNNNNNNNNNNNNNNNNNNNNNNNNNNNNNNNNNNNNNNNNNNNNNNNNNNNNNNNNNNCCUCUCAUUAAAACGGAUUAAUUUAUUAUUUUUUGGGCGUUGCUUUGUCCCUCGGGAAGAGCCGGUGGCCGUGACCCCCCCUCCCCAAGCGCCCCCCCCUGAGUUACAGCCGCGCCGCCCCCGGCACGGCACCGAAACACUUAAAAAAACCCAAAAAACACCCCUAAAAAAACCCCAAAACCCCCACUGCGGCCGGGAUGGGGGGAAGGAUUCCCCAAAACCUCCAUCCCAGUUGCAUUUGGGAGAUGGGGAUCCCCCAAAACCUCCAUCCCAGUUGGGUUUGGGGGAUAAAGGGGGACCCCUUCCCAGUUCAGGGCUGGGUGAGCUGGAUGCCGAAGACGUCGGGGUGGCGGUGCCGGUGGAGACAGGUGGCUUCGGAAGACCCUUCGGCGUCGCGCACGUUGUACUCCCCCUUCUUACACGCCGUGGUCUUCAGGUAGUAACCCCCGGCGGCCACCAAACCCACUGCUGUCACGGCCCCCAAGGAGCCCAAUGAGGCCACCAGGGCCAACCGACUCUCUGUGGGGCCAGAAGGUGCUGGUGACACCAUGGUGGUGGCCACGGCCCCCAAGGAGCCCAACGAGGCCACCAGGGUCAACCUAGACUAUAUUGGGCCAGAAGGUGCCGGUGACACCACGGUGGUGGCCACGGCCCUGAAGGAGCCCAACGAGGCCACCAGGGCCAACCCACUCUCUGUUGGGCCAGAAGGUGCCGGUGACACCACGGUGGUGGCCACGGCCCCCAAGGAGCCCAGCGAGGCCACCAGGGCCAACCCACUCUCUGUUGGGCCAGAAGGUGCCGGUGACACCACGGUGGUGGCCACGGCCCCCAAGGAGCCCAACGAGGCCACCAGGGCCAGAAGGUGCCGGUGACACCACAGUGGUGGCCACGGCCCCCAAGGAGCCCAACGAGGCCACCAGGGCCAACCGACUCUCUGUGGGGCCAGAAGGUGCCGGUGACACCACGGUGGUGGCCACGGCCCCCAAGGAGCCCAACGAGGCCACCAGGGCCAGAAGGUGCCGGUGCCACCACAGUGGUGGCCACGGCCCCCAAGGAGCCCAACGAGGCCACCAGGCCCAACCGACUCUCUUUUGGGCCAGAAGGUGCUGGUGACACCACGGUGGUGGCCACGACCGCCCCCCAACUUCAUUUUACCACCAACCCCCCCAUCCCCUCCUUCCAUAUUCUCCAUCCUUGGAUAUCUCACCGUCCACGUGGACCACCACGCUGCCGGCUCGCCGGCCGUGCCUGUUGGUGGCCGUGCAGGUGUAGAGGCCCCGGUUGACGGCGGCGGCGCCGGCCACGGCCACCGAGCGGUUGUCGGGGGCCAGGCGGAGGUUGGGGGCGGGG